Molecule: long non-coding RNA, 458 nt
Organism: Eurytemora carolleeae
Lineage: Eukaryota; Metazoa; Arthropoda; Copepoda; Calanoida; Temoridae
Exons: 2
Source: RefSeq, a predicted model, not a curated record
UUUAGGAGAUACUUUCCUGUUGCAAACUUAACAAGAACCAGACAAGUUCUACUCAUUGAACCUCAGAGACCGGAGAAAUUUGUCAUAAGAACUUUCAACUCGACGUCCCUGUAUAUUCUAAGUGUUUGUGAAGUGUGUGGAAGCUAUCAGUGUCCCUAUUGCCCGUUCUACAGCGGGGGUGGAACCUUUUUAUCUGUAUCAAACAUUCUUAUCUUCAUUCUCACCAUUUUCAUCAAAUAUUCGUCAUAAACUUUUUUUUUGGAAUUUACCGUUUUCACCAAAUAUUGAGGAUUUGGGUUGAAAUUGUUCUCUUCGGUUUAUAAAGCACUGAUCUCUUAAAAUUCCCAGGAAAUGGGAAUUUUUAAUUUUAAGUAUUUUUCGCCCAAUUUAAGUGCAAAAGUUAUUGCAGUAUUGCUCAUCUUUUUAAUUUUCUUGAAAUAUAUUUUAAUUUCUUUUAA